RNAcentral lists this ribosomal RNA (253 nucleotides) under uncultured prokaryote. RNAcentral describes it as "partial 16S ribosomal RNA". It matches the Rfam family "Bacterial small subunit ribosomal RNA", at positions 525 to 777 of the family's 1533-position model. The record is from RNAcentral.
ACGAGUGGUGCAAGCGUUAUUCGGAAUCAUUGGGCGUAAAGGGCGCGUAGACGGUGUGUUAAGUUUGCUGUUAAAUUCUCCGGCUCAACUGGAGAUCUGUGGUGAAAACUGACAUGCUAGAGGGUGGAAGAGAGAAGUGGAAUUCUCGGAGUAGCGGUAAAAUGCGUAGAUCUCGAGAGGAACACCAAUGGCGAAGGCAGCUUCUUGGUCCAUUUCUGACGUUGAGGCGCGAAAGCGUGGGGAGCAAACAGGA